AUUCCUGUAAUUGUUUUUAAAGUGUUUACUUUUCUGUCUCUCCCUAGAAGGUCCUUGAGGAAUAUAUUUUUUGCCUUGUCUUAGAGCCUAUUAAGUAUAUAUUGGUUCAAUGAUGAUGGAUUAAUAGGAAUUCAAGUGAAGCCACAUGACUACUAGUAGUAAACAUCUGCCUGAGUCUCAGACAAACUCACUAAGGAAAAUAAAGGCCUGCAUGAGUCAAGUUAAUUAUAUUCUCAAAUGAACAGAAGGGCAAAAUGAGAUUAUAAUUUAGCUUUUCAGUGUUCUUUUUUUGCUACUUCAAGCUAAUACCUGCAUCUAAUAGCCAUAAACGCCUCUCACAUACUGUAGCCAAGUGGGCAACCCUUUGGGGAAGAUUUGAUUGUCAACAAAAAUUUAGCUACUACUCUUUAUUUUGAAAUUAGUUUACAUCUACAAAAACUUAAGCAGUAUAUCAAAAAAGCACACAUCUUAACUAAAUUGGGAUAUAUUCUGGGAAUGCAAGGAUAGUUUAAUAAUAGAACAUUAUUAAUGUAAUUUACCAAACUAAGAGAUUUAAAGUUGAAAAAAAAUGGAUAAUCUCAAUGGGUGUAGGAAAAGCACUCAAUAGACUUCAAUAAUAGCCAUUCAUGAUUAAAAAAAAAAACUUUCAGCAAAAUUGGAAUAGAUGGACAUUUCUUUUUUUUAAGAUAGAAACUUCUUUAACCUGAUAAAGAGCAUCUACCAAAAAUUUCAUAGCAACUGAUAUAUUCAGUGGCAAAAUAUCAAAAGCAUAUCCUUUAAAACCCACUAGAUCUACUUCUAAUCCUUACUGUACUAGAGAUCAUAUUCAUGAUCUUUCAUGUAUGAAAGACACAAGGAAGGAAAAAAUAAUAGGUAUAUGGAUUGGGAUAGAAAAAAUAAAACUGUGAGUGCUUGCAGUAUUUAUGUACACAGAAAAACCUAUACACAAUUUAUUAAACUUAAUAAAAUUUUACAAAGUGGCUAGAUACAAAAUCAAUAUGAAAAAUCAACUGCAUUUCAACACAUCAACAAAAAUAGACAUUUUAAAAAAAGGUUUUAUUUGUUUACUCAUGAGAGACACAGAAAGAAGGCAGAGACAGGAAGAGGGAGAAGCAGAUUCUUCGCAGGAAGCCCAAUGUCGGACCUGAUCCCAGAACUCGUGGAUCAUGCUCUGUGCCGAAGGCAGAUGAUCAACCGCUGAGCCACCCAGGCAUCCCAGAAAAUAUAUUUUAAAAUCUUUUAUAAUAGUAUUAAAAAUACCCCAAAAAACUAUGGGUAAGUUUCAUAAAAAAUAUUAAGACUUUAAUAAUGGAGGAAAUAAUAAAACUUAUUGAAAUACAAAGAGAAUCAAAUAAAUGGAGGGAGAUAACAAGUUUAUGAGUAGGGAGACCAGCAUCCUACAGAUAUCAACUUUUUCCAAACUGAUCCAAUACAAUUCCAAUCAAAAGUCUAACAGUUAUUUAAAAAAUGAAACUUGACAACUUGAUGCUAACAUGUGUUUGGAAGUUCAAAGGAACUCCUCAAACUUUUCCACACAAUUACAGGAAUCUGAUACAUGUCAGAAGUAAUGGGGCUAAGAAAACAGUUUUUUGAAUAUGGCUAAGAGAAAACUGGAUUUUUACUUCAAUAAAUGUACAAAACUUUGUUCUAGAUGGAUUAAGCACACAUCAAUGCAAAAGUCAGAAGUUUUAGAGGUUGCCUAACGAAACAGAAAAGAUAUUUGGAUAACAUAAAAUAGACCAAAUUCUAGUGUCCAGAGCAUACUAAUUCCUAUGAAUCAAUAUGAAAAGGACUAGCAAUCCCUUAGAAAAGACAAAAUAGGCACUUCCAAAAAGAAGAAACAUGAAUGGCCAAUAAUUUCAUAUGAUUUAUUCAAUUUCAUUAAAAUCAGGAAAAUGAAACUUAAAAUUACAGUUCAAUAUUAUUUUACACAAUGUAUAGGCAAAAAUAAAUGUGUGACAAAAAGAAGUGUUGAUGAGGAUGUGGAUAAACAAAAACUUCUACACGUUGCUGAAGAGCUUUCAAUGACUUUGGAUAAGAAAGUGGACUUACCUACUUAAGUUGAAUCUAUACACUCCUAUGUUCCAAUAUUUCAAUUGCAAACUUAGGUACAUACCUCAGGGAAAUUUUUAUACAUGUGCACUAGAAGUCAUACACAAGAAUAUUCAUGGAAACACUAUUUUUUUAAUUUUUAUUAUUUUAUUAUUUUUUUAAAGAUUUUAUUUACUUAUUCAUAGAGACACAGCUAGAGAGAGAGAGGCAGAGACACAGGCAGAGGGAGAAGCAGGCUCCAUGCAGGGAGCCCGAUGUGGGACUUGAUCCUGGGUCUCCAGGAUCACACACCCUGGGCUGCAGGCGGCGCUAAACCGCUGCGCCACCAGGGCUGCCCAGAAACACUAUUUUUAAUAGCAAAAUUGGAAACAACAAAAAUGUCCAUUGACAGAAAAAGGAAUAAAUUCACCCAAAGGAAUACUACACAACAGUAAAAAUAUACUGAUUAACAUGGAUAAAUCUUAAAAGUGUCAUAUUGAAUAAAAAAGCAAGUCUAAAGGAUUAUAUAUAUAUAUAUAUAUAUAUGUAUAUAUAUAUAUGUAUGAUACUAUUUUCACCAAGUUUAAAAACAAGCAAACAAGAAAACAGAUUGUUAAGGAUACAUACAUAUGUGGUAAGGCAAGAAAAUAAAUGAGAACAAAGCCCAAAAGAGUAGUUGCCUGGGUAUAAUCAGAUGGUAAUAGCAACACACAGGAACUUCAAUGGUUCUAGUGAUGUUCUACUUUUCAGUGCGUAUGUUGGAUUCAGGAGUUAUCUGUUUUAUUAUUAGUCUUAUAACUUACGUGUUUGAUAUGUUCUUAUAUAUGUACCAAAUUUUCAUAUAUUUUUAAAAAGAUUUUAUUUAUUUAUUCAUGAGAGAUACUGAAAGAGAGAGAGAGAGAGGCAGAGACACAGGCAGAGGGAGAAGCAGGCUCCAUGCAGGGAGCCCAAAGUGGGACUAGAUCCUGGAACUCCAGGAUCAUGCCCUGGGCCAAAGGCAGGCACUAGACCGCUGAGCCACCCAGGGAUUCCCCCCAAGUUUUCAUAUUAAGAACAAGUAUGCCCCAAAUAAUGUCUACCAAAAUGCUACAGGAGGAAAGCAAGUUGCAGCACACAUACAGUGUGAUCCUAAUGUAUAAACUAGAAAUAUAAAAUAAUAUUUUAUAUUGUUUAUGGAUACAUAUCUAUGUUAAAGUCUUUGAAGAAACAAACUGGAUAGAUAGGCUUAUAUUCAGGACAGUGGUUGUGCAGGGAACAAGAGAAAAGAGUAGAGUGAUGGGACAGCUCUGAGAUGAGACUGAAGAAGAGUUCAAUUUUAUCUCUAGUUUUAAUUUCUCUUAUUUGAAAAGGGUGAAGUAAAACAAAACAAAACAAAACCCCUGCAAAAUAAAAUCAAGUUUAUUGCAAAGUGCUGAAAUAUACUGAGAAGCAAAGCAAGGGGCCAGAGUAUAACAUUCCUGCCCCAUGUUCCUUUUUACCUAACCUCUCUUGAAGCUGACAGUGAAGUACAGACAAAAUAUAUUCAGGCCAGAUGACAAUAAAGCUUUGGCAACAACAGUCUCUUGUUGCCAGACAAACUCACUCAUUCAGAUGAAUAAUACACAUGGUUAUGCCCUGAGCUAUAAUUAGACCCAAUAUGAAUAGAUAAGUUUAUCAGAAGGAAGAACUUAAAAGUAGAGUAAAUUAUAGGUUUGUAGUUACAACAUGACUUCAAGGUAGAUGAAGAAUUUAGUUUAAAAAAUACACACAGAGAGAACACAGCUAUGAAACAAUGUGCAUAGACACGUUACCUAAAUACCAAGAUAUAAUUUCUCUGAGUUACUUUGAGAAAUUUUAAGAUGACCUUCCAAGAAUGGUCAUCACAGUUAAUUAUAUAAUAUAGGCUAACCGAGGAGUCACUAAAUACAGCCACCAAGGAAAAGACUCAGAAGUAGAAGUCAAGAGAUAUCUCACAGAAGCAGGCAAUGCCUGUAAGUUAUUCACAUUCAAUUAGUGCUUGUUUUAAAUUUUAUUUGGCUCUCAGUCAGAAUACCAAAUUUUAUUAGUUCUUUGAAGUCAGUAAGCUAUCUAUACAGUUAUCAACAAUGGAUUAAAUAGCAUAGGUAACAGUAUCACUCUGAGUUGGUUACACUGUCCAAAUGUGUCUUUAAAAAAAAAAAAAAAAAAAAACAGUAUUAGUAGUGACAAACUAUCUUGAACACAGAUUAGUGUUUUAAAAUGCAUCUAAAACUUUUAUUACUUCUUUAAUAUACACAAAUUAAGUCUUAGCAGUCUGACCUGCCCUUCUCUAUCACCUUAGAAGUAGCAUGUCUGUACCACUUGCAAUCCCAAAGCUUAUAGCAGUGGUUCUUAAACUACAAAGCCCUCUGUCCUAUUCUCAUUUUGAUAUGUCCCAGUUAAGAAACUCUGGAAUAAAAGUACAAAACUGGGUUGUACAAUAUGGUAACCAUAUAGCUACUGAGCACUUGAAAUGUGGUUACUUAUUCAGAUAUGCUGUAACUGUAAAAUAUAUACCAAAUUUUAAGACAGUAUAAAGGAAAGUAAAAUACAUCAUUACUUUUGGUUAAUUACAUGUUAAAUGAUAAUAUUUGAAUAUAUUGGACUAAAAAUAUAUUAAAACUAACCACCUGUUUCUUUUUAUUUUUUUAAUAUGGUUCCUAGAAAAUUUAAAAUUACACAUGUGGCUCAUAUUGUAUUUCUGUUCAACAAUAACUGUUCUAGAGCAGUGCUGUCUAAUAAAACUUUCUGUGAUAAUGAAAAUGUUUUAGUUCUUAUCCUUAUCCAGUAUGGUAAUCACUCACCACAUGUGGCCAUUAAGCACAUAAAAUGGAGCUAGUAAGAAUGAGGAAAUAGAUUUUCAAUUUCAUUUGAUUUUAAGGAAUUUAAAUCUAAAUAACUUCAUGUGGCUAGUGGUCACAUAUAUUGGACAAUAUAAACCUACUGCUCCAGUAGUACAUACUGACCAAAUGUUUUUUUUUUUAAUAUGUCAGAAUUAUUUGGUUUUAUAUAAAAUAGAAGAAUGGGCUUUUAUAGACUUUGGACCAAAAAAGUGAGAAGCAGAACCUGCAGACCAUUUUAUAUUUUCAAUGAUCACUUCCCCCUUAAGUUAACCAAAUAAAAGUACCGAGGUCACCUGCACAAUAGAGCGAAUGAUGAAGAACAUAACUGGACUCUGAGUCAGACUUUGCUCUUCUGAAUCCUAGUUCUACCAUGUAAGUUCUGUAGAGCCCUGAGUGAAUAUGUAAUCACCCCAUAUAAUCUUUCAAUGUCUUCAUUUCCUCAUCUACAAAAUGAGGCAACUACAGCACCAACCUUGCAGAGCAACUGUGAAGUUUUAGUAGAGUUAUACCUACCAGAGCUUCGAAAAUGGGGUCUGUAAUGGCCCAAAUGGUAUGCUUCCAAUGUCAGCUGCUCUUCUAGGUGUUGUUAUGCUUUGUGAUAUAUAAUCCAGAAGCUCAUGAACACAAUCAAAAGAUUAAUUGCCUGAUUUUAUAAGGAUUUCAAGAUCCUAGGACUAGGAAACAGGCUACCAAGACCCAUACAUUAAUAAUCAUUACCCCUACCACCAUUAUCACCAUCAUCAUCUUGCAACGUAAUCUUAGGAUAUAUAUUUAGAUAGGGCAGAACUUUAGAAACCAACAGAAAUCAAAGCUGCCACUUCCAGGAAAUCCAAUCUGUUGCUGAAUGGAAUGUUUAUUUCACACCAGGAUUUUCAGGCAUGAGGAUAUUUAGCACUGUUUUCUCACUUGCAGUAUUCUUUUUUCUUUUUUUUUAAGAUUUUAUUUAUUUAUUCAUGAGAGACGCAGAGAGGAAGAGAGGCAGAGACACAACACAGGCAGAGGGAGAAGCAGGCUCCAUGCAAGGAGCUUGAUGUGGGACUCGAUCCUGGGACUCCAGGAUCACGCCAUGGGCCAAGGCAGGCAGGAGCUCAAUUGCUGAGCCACCCAGGGAUCCCCUCACUUGCAGUAUUCUAAAUGAUCAAUAUUCUUAAUUUUAUUUUCAGGUUUGAUUUUUUAAAGAAGAUAAACACAGCUAAGAGAGUUACAUUCAAAAUAAAAUCCAAUUAGAUAAAUCUAUUAAAAUGCAAAUGUCAGUUAGCAAAUUACAAAUUAGUUGAAUAAUCAAAGUUGCCACUAAGAGAAAUUCUGUUAGAGAAUCAAUGUUGUAAACUGCGUUCAGCUUUCUAUGCUGCUGCCUACAGUGGAUGAGCCCUUCUGUACAUAUAAAAUAUUACACACUUAACAAUAAAAAUGCUGAAAAGGAUUAAACUCUGACUGUAUUUAAGAUCAUAAGAUUUUUAAAUACAUCUGAAUACUUUCAGUGUGCUGUGACUCUAAGACCAAGAGUUUUUGGCUCUGUCUGCUGCCUUUUCAUUUAACACUGACUCUAAGAUAGAAAAAGAGUAAGGCAAAAAAAAAAAAAAAAAAAA
This 6460-nucleotide long non-coding RNA is filed under the name Canis lupus familiaris (dog). RNAcentral's name for it is "lncRNA (ENSCAFG00000054451.1)". Lineage: Eukaryota; Metazoa; Chordata; Mammalia; Carnivora; Canidae. The record is from RNAcentral.